Molecule: long non-coding RNA, 538 nt
Filed under: Nicotiana tabacum (common tobacco)
Lineage: Eukaryota; Viridiplantae; Streptophyta; Magnoliopsida; Solanales; Solanaceae
Description: long non-coding RNA (NTAB_LNC001796)
Source: RNAcentral
GCAAAUUGUCUUACAAGGUGGCCCCAUGGCCAAAGUAUGACAUUAUGUGUUCAGAGUCCCUUCGUCGCAAUUUGGUACGCCAGGUUAGGUGAGGCACCGGGUGCUUGUCUCGCUCCUAGGUUCGGGGCGUGACAGAUUUCGCGGCUAUUUCUGCGAUCGCAUAACCGUUUCGCUGGCCGCACUUUGGUUGCAAAGUCAUCCUUAGACUUUUACGAAUAAAGGUUCAGACUUUUUGGAUUGAAUAGUGCUUGGUGAUUUAAAGGAAAAUGUUGGGCAGAAGUAGGCAUUUCUGUGCCCCGUUCUGCGGCCGCAGAACCUCUAUACGGACCGUAGAAUGGUUGCAAAGUGAGGCAGUUUUCUGUGAUAUUUUUGAUGUCUAUUUCGCGGCUAUUUUUGCGAUCGCAUAACCGUUUCGCGGGCCACACUUUGGUCGCACAGUCUUCCUUAGUCUUUUAUGAAGGGAGGUUCGGACUUUUUGGAUUGAAUAGUGCCUGGUGAUUUAAAGGAAAAUGUUGGGCAGAAGUAGGCAUUUUUGUGC